RNAcentral lists this ribosomal RNA (1481 nucleotides) under uncultured Bordetella sp. Its description in RNAcentral is "partial 16S-23S ribosomal RNA intergenic spacer". It matches the Rfam family "Bacterial small subunit ribosomal RNA". Lineage: Bacteria; Pseudomonadati; Pseudomonadota; Betaproteobacteria; Burkholderiales; Alcaligenaceae. The record is from RNAcentral.
AGUUCGAUCAUGGCUCAGAUUGAACGCUGGCGGGAUGCUUUACACAUGCAAGUCGAACGGCAGCACGGACUUCCCGGUCUGGUGGCGAGUAGCGAACGGGUGAAGUAAUGUAUCGGAACGUGCCUGGUAGCGGGGAUAACUACCGAAAGCGUAGCUAAUGCCAUAUGCGCCUUCGAGGAAGCGGGGACCUUCGGGCCUCGCGCACUAUUAAACGGCCGAUAUCGGAUUGGCUAGUUGGUGAGGUAACGGCUCACCAAGGCGACGAUCCGUAAGCUGGUUUGAGGGGACGACCAACCACACUGGGACUGAGACACGGCCCAGACUCCUGCAGGGAGGCAACGGUGGGAAUUUUUGGACAAUGAAACCUAGUCCAGCCAUCCCGCGUGUGCGAUGAAGGCCUUCGGGUUGUAAAGCACUUUUGGCAGGAAAGAAACGGCACGGGAUAAUACCCCAGCCACAUGACGAUACCUGCAGAAUAAGCACCACGGCUAACUGCCCGUACCCGGCAGCCGCGGUAAUACGUAGGGUGCAAGCGUUAAUCAGAUCACUGGGCGUAAAGCGUGCGCAGGCGGUUCGGAAAAGAUGUAGAAAUCGAUACCUUUGGAACUGCAUUUUAACUACCGAGCUAGAGUGUGUCAGAGGUGGAAUUCCGCGUGUAGCGGUGAAAUGCACGUAGAUAUGCGGAGGAGCACCGAUGGCGAAGGCAGCCUCUGGGAUAACACUGACGCUCAUGCGGCGAAACAAGGGGAGCAAACAGGAUUAGAUACCCUGGUGGUCCGCCUAAACGAUGUCAACUGGCUAUUGGGUAUUCGGGCCUUGGUAGCGCAACUAACGCGUGAAGUUGACCGCACAAGGGGAGUACGGUCACCAAGAUUAAAACUCAAAGGAAUUGACAGGGACCCGCACAAGCGGUGGAUGAUGUGGAUUCAUUCGAUGCAACGCGAAAAACCUUUACCUACCCUUGACAUGUCUGGAAUCCCGAAGAGAUUUGGGAGUGCUCGCAAGAGAACCGGAAUGGAACACAGGUGCUAUGGCUGUCGUCAGCUCGGUGUCUACAGUAGAGAUGUUGGGUUAAGUCGCAACGAGCGCAACCCUUAUCUGGUUGCUACGAGGGCACUCUAAUGAGACUGCCGGUGACAAACCGGAGGAAGGUGGGGAUGACGUCAAGUCCUCAUGGCCCAUAUGGGUAUGCAGGAGCUUCACACGUCAUACAAUGGUCGGGACAAGGGUCGCCAACCCGCGAGGGGAGCCAAUCCCAGAAACCCGAUCGUAGUCCGGAUCGCAGUCUGCAACUCGACUGCGUGAAGUCGGGAAAAUCGCCUAUUAAUCGCGGAUCAGCAUGUCGCGGUGAAUACGUUCCCAGGUCUUGUACACACCGCCGUCACACCAUGGGAGUGGGUUUUACCAGAAGUAGUUAGCUAACCGUAAGGAGGGCGAUUACCACAGUAGGAUUCAUGACUGGGGUGAAGUGUAUAAGGUAG